Molecule: transfer RNA, 67 nt
Filed under: Hemisquilla californiensis
Lineage: Eukaryota; Metazoa; Arthropoda; Malacostraca; Stomatopoda; Hemisquillidae
Description: tRNA-Glu
Rfam family: tRNA
About the family: Transfer RNA (tRNA) molecules are approximately 80 nucleotides in length. Their secondary structure includes four short double-helical elements and three loops (D, anti-codon, and T loops). Further hydrogen bonds mediate the characteristic L-shaped molecular structure. tRNAs have two regions of fundamental functional importance: the anti-codon, which is responsible for specific mRNA codon recognition, and the 3' end, to which the tRNAs corresponding amino acid is attached (by aminoacyl-tRNA synthetases). tRNAs cope with the degeneracy of the genetic code in two manners: having more than one tRNA (with a specific anti-codon) for a particular amino acid; and 'wobble' base-pairing, i.e. permitting non-standard base-pairing at the 3rd anti-codon position.
Source: RNAcentral
GUUUUUAUAGUGUAAUUCAACACAUUACAUUUUCAAUGUAAAGAUAAGAAUUUAUUCUUUAAAAAUA